This 403-nucleotide long non-coding RNA is filed under the name Rattus norvegicus (Norway rat). RNAcentral describes it as "long non-coding RNA NONRATT014696". Lineage: Eukaryota; Metazoa; Chordata; Mammalia; Rodentia; Muridae. The record is from RNAcentral.
UUUCUCACUUCCGCUUGUGAGGGAUUCAGGUCGGAGGAAGCAUUUCUAAGGAACAAGCCAGGACUCACGCACUUCAUCUAGGCAGCCUUUAGACACUGCAGAAUUGACAGUGCCAACUAGCAUUGGACUCUUUCAAGAUGAGCUUCCUCUUGCCCAAACUGACCAGCAAGAAAGAAGUAGACCAGGCGAUCAAAAGCACUGCGGAGAAGGUCUUGGUUCUCAGGUUUGGGAGGGAUGAGGAUCCCGUCUGUCUGCAGCUGGAUGAUAUUGAGGAAGGAGCCUGGGGAGUGUCGGCAUCCUAGGUUGUUCGGGUGGCUUGUCGGGAUCUGUAGUUUUUGUUUUGAAGUACUGAGCAUUGAGACUAGACCUCAUGCGCUACCACUAAGCUGUGCUCUCAGCUCAC